UCUGUUAAGUGUCAGGGGUUUCGAAAUGAACCCCAGUGAAAUUUAGGUUUCACCUUUUUUUUCAUUUCUUCCUUUUCAUAACUUUUAAAAUUUUCAGUUUGAAUAUUCAACUUUUCUCUCUUUCUCAUGGUGUACCUACGACGAAGAUGAAGAAGCUUUCGCUCUUCUCUGUGUGCCUUCCACCGUUCUCCCUCUUCUUACGUGUGACGAUAUUUCUCUUUCGAUUUUAUCUCUCUAAUUUCGUCUCAGUCCCAUUUUGAAGUUCUCAUUUUGGUUGUGCGUCGCUGCCCUCGAUUUUUGAAUUGAUUUCAGUUUCUUUCUUUCUCAUGCCCUAACUCAGUUCUUUGCCUAACUCUUUCGAUUUCCAUAAUUUAUGUUAUGUUUCCACGGGCCAUGAGAUCUGCAGAGACUCAAGAGAGAAAAUCGAUGCUUUGGUUACAGGGAUAGGAACUGGAGGAUUAAUAACAGGUGCUGGAAAAUUCCUCAAGCAGAAAAACCCAAUCAUCAAGAUGCAACCACAGAUACCUAAUAUUGGGACUCAUUACUAUUAAUCAAAAGUUCAGUGGUUUUGGUUUGCAAAUGCAGUUUUAGAGGUGCCUUGGGUCAAGUGAGUCAUGCCUAAAUCCAAAAGAGUUAGUGAUGACAAGACUAACAGAAGUGGAAGGAGGGGUAUGGUUCUUCCUUUUCAACCUUUAUCCCUCACUUUUGAUGAGAUCAAGUAUUCUAUAAACAUGCCACGGGAAAUGAAACAACAAGGAGUUUUUGAAGAACGUCUAGAACUUUUGAAGGUUGUUAGUGGUGUCUUUAGGCCAGGAGUACUAACAGCUCUGAUGGGUGUAAGUGGUGCUGGUAAGACUACUUGAUGGAUGUUCUAGCUGGAAGGAAAACUGGUGGAUAUAUUGAAGGGAACAUCACAAUAUCUGGAUACAUAAAGAGGCAAGAAACAUUUGCAAGAAUCUCAGAACAAUUUGAUAUUCACUCACCCAAUGUUAUAGUUUAUGAAUCUUUGCUAUAUUCGGCCUGGCUUCGUUUACCCGGUGAAGUUGAUCGCGCAACUAGAAAGGAUUUAAUGACUACUACAUUGAGCAAUUAGAAGUUAACUCUUGAUGGUUAUAAGCAGGAUUAGUAGCUGAUGGGAGGCAAAUUGUUGCCCAAGCCAAGUCUGAAGCAACUAUGACAUGUUUGCUUAAUUCUCUUGUAAUAUAGAUGCUUCCUCUCCUCACCCCUUUUAUUUAUCUAAAUGUUUGAUGAUUACCAUAUUUUCUUAUUACUGUUGUCAUGGACUAAUUUGACACCUUGUAGCAAUCAAAGAAGAAUUGUAGUUAAACUAGGAAAAAUUGUGAGAAUUAUUAUCUGUAAACAUGUGGUUUCUAGGAAGUAGUAGAUGAGGACAAUGGCAUCGGGAUUGAGAUUUAAUAAAUCGUCACAACUCCCUAUUGAAAUCUGCAACCUCUGCAUCUGCUUGUUGUGAAAUUGGCACCAUGCUCUUGGAAGUCUCGUUAUUCAUUAAUCACUUUUCUGUCAAUGGUGAAUGGUGUUUUGAAAGAUUUUAUAUAUUACUGCAGACAAAUAUAUUGGAAUGCUAUUGUUUCCUUUUGUUA
This is a long non-coding RNA of Vigna unguiculata (cowpea), 1601 nucleotides long. NCBI's taxonomy places the organism in Eukaryota, Viridiplantae, Streptophyta, Magnoliopsida, Fabales, Fabaceae. The record is from RefSeq and is a predicted model, not a curated record.